RNAcentral lists this ribosomal RNA (522 nucleotides) under Megascolecid sp. AMVK-2006. RNAcentral describes it as "partial 16S ribosomal RNA". It matches the Rfam family "Bacterial large subunit ribosomal RNA", at positions 1801 to 2618 of the family's 2925-position model. The record is from RNAcentral. Lineage: Eukaryota; Metazoa; Annelida; Clitellata; Crassiclitellata; Megascolecidae.
GGUUUAUCAAAAACAUUGCUUUACGUAAAAAAAUGUAAAGUAAUUCCUGCCCAGUGACAGAAGUUCAACGGCCGCGGUAUCCUAACCGUGCAAAGGUAGCAUAAUCACUUGCCCAUUAAUUGUGGGCUAGAAUGAACGGGUAAACGAAAUAAAGACUGUCUCUAUCAAUUAACUAUAAAUUAAUAUCUACAUGAAGAAGUGUAGAUAAUUUCGAAGGACAAGAAGACCCUAUAGAGCUUUAUUUAAAGACAUAUUAUUAUUUGUCAUAAAAUUCGGUUGGGGCGACCUAGGGAAGUUAAAUAUCAUCCUAACAAAAAAAAGAUAUAUAAAUCUAAUAAUUGACCCUUAUAAGAUCACUAGAUCAAGUUACCUUAGGGAUAACAGGCUAAUUCUAUUAAAGAGUUCAUAUCGACAAUAGAGUUUGGCACCUCGAUGUUGGCUUAGGAUAUCUAUAAAACGCAAAAGUUAUAUAAAGAUGGUUUGUUCAACCAAUAAUUUCCUACNUGAUCUGAGUUCAAACCG